RNAcentral lists this ribosomal RNA (349 nucleotides) under uncultured Paxillus. RNAcentral describes it as "eukaryotic LSU rRNA". It matches the Rfam family "Eukaryotic large subunit ribosomal RNA", at positions 1 to 343 of the family's 3401-position model. Lineage: Eukaryota; Fungi; Basidiomycota; Agaricomycetes; Boletales; Paxillaceae. The record is from RNAcentral.
GACCUCAAAUCAGGUAGGACUACCCGCUGAACUUAAGCAUAUCAAUAAGCGGAGGAAAAGAAACUAACAAGGAUUCCCCUAGUAACUGCGAGUGAAGCGGGAUGAGCUCAAAUUUUGAAUCUGGCGGUCUUCAGGCCGUCCGAGUUGUAAUCUAGAGAAGCGUCUUCCGCGCUGGACCGUGUACAAGUCUCCUGGAAGGGAGCGUCGUAGAGGGUGAGAAUCCCGUCUUUGACACGGACCCCCAGUGCUAUGUGAUGCGCUCUCGACGAGUCGAGUUGUUUGGGAAUGCAGCUCAAAUUGGGUGGUAAACUCCAUCUAAAGCUAAAUAUUGGCGAGAGACCGAUAGCGA